Anopheles darlingi is the source of this 45-nucleotide non-coding RNA. The record is from Rfam. Lineage: Eukaryota; Metazoa; Arthropoda; Insecta; Diptera; Culicidae.
AAAACGGCCCUUUUCAGGGCCACCAAUGAUCUCUUCGAAAAGAGC